GCAAUUUGCUUGAAUGUAACCUAUAUUUCUGAUACAGAAACUUUGAAUACAGGUCAAAUUGGACCCGAGGACAACAGAAGGGUUAAAGAUAGAUAUUU
This is a long non-coding RNA of Etheostoma cragini (Arkansas darter), 98 nucleotides long. RefSeq lists it as uncharacterized. The record is from RefSeq and is a predicted model, not a curated record. Lineage: Eukaryota; Metazoa; Chordata; Actinopteri; Perciformes; Percidae. The transcript is spliced from 3 exons.